UACAUACUUUCUUCGUCUUAAAAUUCUUGUCUUAAAUUUAUCUAGAAAUAGAUGUAUCUAAAUAUUAAAAUAUAACUAGAUGCAUUUAUAUCUAGAUAAAUUUAAGACUAGAAUUUUAGGACGGAAGGAGUAUGUA
Molecule: non-coding RNA, 136 nt
Organism: Hordeum vulgare subsp. vulgare (domesticated barley)
Lineage: Eukaryota; Viridiplantae; Streptophyta; Magnoliopsida; Poales; Poaceae
Source: Rfam